AACGAACGCUGGCGGCAUGCCUAACACAUGCAAGUCGAACGAGACCUUCGGGUCUAGUGGCGCACGGGUGCGUAACGCGUGGGAACCUGCCUUUAGGUUCGGAAUAACUCAGAGAAAUUUGAGCUAAUACCGGAUGAUGUCUUCGGACCAAAGAUUUAUCGCCUUUAGAUGGGCCCGCGUUGGAUUAGCUAGUUGGUGGGGUAAAGGCCUACCAAGGCGACGAUCCAUAGCUGGUCUGAGAGGAUGAUCAGCCACACUGGGACUGAGACACGGCCCAGACUCCUACGGGAGGCAGCAGUGGGGAGUAUUGGACAAUGGGCGAAAGCCUGAUCCAGCAAUGCCGCGUGAGUGAUGAAGGCCUUAGGGUUGUAAAGCUCUUUUACCCGAGAUGAUAAUGACAGUAUCGGGAGAAUAAGCUCCGGCUAACUCCGUG
RNAcentral lists this ribosomal RNA (433 nucleotides) under uncultured bacterium. RNAcentral's name for it is "partial 16S ribosomal RNA". It matches the Rfam family "Bacterial small subunit ribosomal RNA", at positions 29 to 507 of the family's 1533-position model. The record is from RNAcentral.